CUUCUGAGUGCCUAGAGCCAGGGAGUCCUCGCUACAACCCUGCCAGCAGCCCCUCAGUGCUACACAGAAGAAAGCAAUCACAGAAAUUACAUCUACUGGUUCUCUAUGGAACAUUGCCCAGCUCCCUGGAGGGUAAGGGGACCUUUCACGAUGAGAACUGGCUGAGAAUGUCUGUUUGCAAUUCAUCAUGACCUGGAGGAAUGGAGCAAAAGAGCAGAGCCCUGAGGGACAAAUCCUCAGAAUAAAACAAUCUGCCCUCUAAAGAACAGAAUUGUCUUUAGGAGAAAGCUCAAGAAAUAGAAGAGACAACCUCACUGACCCUUCCAGGAGCUUCACUUUCGGAAAGGGAUGG
This 352-nucleotide long non-coding RNA is filed under the name Cricetulus griseus (Chinese hamster). Its description in RNAcentral is "lncRNA (ENSCGRG00015030679.1)". The record is from RNAcentral. Lineage: Eukaryota; Metazoa; Chordata; Mammalia; Rodentia; Cricetidae.